GUAUCUCAUCUGCAUCUCAGUCUCAUCUCAUCUUAAACAGUGAACACCCAAUCCUCCUUCCACCUGCACGCAUCUCAGUCUCAUCUUCACACCUUAGAUUUCUAUUUCAUCUUGGCUCGCCCCUCUCACAUCGCCAACUGCAAUGUCCGCGACGAAACCGGAACCAGUGUUUGUGUUGUGAAUAUUGCAUAGUUGCAGCUAUUGAACAACAAUCCCACUCCUCUAAGGAAAAGCAACCUCACUCACACAUCUCUCUUCUCUGUCAUAAUGGGAAAACUCUAACCUCAAGAUCUGCAAAUUAAAUUGUUAGAGCAGACUAAUACAGUUGUUGCUCUCAUGGAUAUUGAUAAUUCUACAUCAGAAAAUGCUGUUUGUAGCUUUGAUGAAUCUGCAUUAGAUUCGAGUGAUGAUGAAUUAGUUGAGCUAUGCAUCAUUGAUAUGGUUUGUGAUUAUAAUAAGAAAUUUUUAAAUAAAACUAAGGUUCGAACAUCUAUAUUAACUGGUCGAGACUUUGUUACUGAGAUAUUAAAUGGAUCUGGAACAGUUUGUUUCGAGUUAUUUCGAAUGGAAAAAACAUGUUUUACUAAUUUUUGCAAUGAAUUGAGGGGAAAAAGUUACUUAAGUGACUCAAGGGAUGUGCUUGUGGAAGAAAAAGUUGCUAUGUUUUUAUUCAUAAUUGGGCAUAAUGUUCGCCAUAGAGUGGUUUCAGAUCGCUUUCAGCAUUCUACAGAAACAGUCUCUCGUUAUUUUAAGGAGGUAUUAAGAGUAGUAUGCCGAUUGGGAAAAGAGCUGAUAAAACAAGAGUCUAAAGAAUUGCCUGACAGAAUAAAAAAUAAUCCAAUAUAUUAUCCUUGGUUCAAGGUAUGUAACUUUAUUGCUUACGAUAUUUAUUCAUGUUUUCUUUUAUUUUUUUAUCUAAUUUUUAAUUGUUUUUAUUUGGAUUCUUGCGACUAUAAAAUUGUUUAGAUGCAAUUGAUGGCACACAUAUAAGUGCAUGGGUUCCCGCUAAGAAACAAACAUCAUGUAGAGGUAGAAAGACAAUUGUCACACAAAAUGUCAUGUGUAUCUGUGAUUUCAAUAUGUAUUUCACAUAUGUGUAUUCGGGGUGGGAAGGAAGUGCACACGAUGCAAAAGUUUUCGUUGAUUCAUUAACCAAUCCAAAUGCACAAUUUCCAUGGCCAUCUAGAGGUGAAUAUUAUAUUGUUGAAUUUGUCUUUUGUUAAUGAAGUAAAUAAUUUAUAUUCAAUGUUAAUGUGUACUCCAUUGAUGUAGGUAUGUUCUAUCUUGUGGAUUCCGGCUAUCCUUGCACAGGAGGUUUCCUUCCCCCUUUUAGAGGCGAAAUAUAUCACGCACAAGAAUACAAUGGUCGAGGUAGACAACCAAGAAGUCGUGAGGAGAUAUUCAAUUAUCGGCAUUCAUCUUUAAGAAUGACAAUUGAGCGAUGCUUUGGAGUCUUGAAGAACAGAUUUCCUAUUUUGAAGUUAAUGCCUCCAUAUAAACCUUCUAGGCAGCGACUCAUAGUGAUAGCGUGUUGUGCUAUUCAUAAUUACAUACGCAAGUGGAAUUUACGUGAUGAUUUGUUUAGAAUGUGGGAAGACAUGGAUCCUGCAGAAAUAGAGGUUAUGAAUGAGAUUUCUAACAUUGAGGAGGCAAGUUUCAAUGAUGAUAACUUAUCAAGAUUAUCUUAUGAAGGUGCAACUGAAAUGGCAGCAUACUGUAAUCAUAUAGCAAAUUGGAUGUGGGCACAACAUAACAACUCUUCAGUUUAGAUUAUCUGAUUUGAUUUGUUAAAUAAUAGGCUUUACUUUUGGAUAAUCAAUUUUCAAGUGACUAGAUGUUUGUAUGUGUUGAUUAUUAGUACAUUAAACCUUAUUUUAUGUUUGUAUA
Gastrolobium bilobum is the source of this 1887-nucleotide RNA transcript. RefSeq lists it as uncharacterized. The record is from RefSeq and is a predicted model, not a curated record. Lineage: Eukaryota; Viridiplantae; Streptophyta; Magnoliopsida; Fabales; Fabaceae. The transcript has 4 exons.